RNAcentral lists this transfer RNA (69 nucleotides) under Burkholderia sp. Bp9125. Its description in RNAcentral is "tRNA-Lys". It matches the Rfam family "tRNA". Rfam says of the family: Transfer RNA (tRNA) molecules are approximately 80 nucleotides in length. The record is from RNAcentral. Lineage: Bacteria; Pseudomonadati; Pseudomonadota; Betaproteobacteria; Burkholderiales; Burkholderiaceae.
UGCAAUUAGCUCAAUUGGUAGAGCAUCGGCCUCUUAAGCCGACGGUGGGGUUCAAAUCCUCGUUGUCAA